RNAcentral lists this long non-coding RNA (1993 nucleotides) under Equus asinus (donkey). RNAcentral describes it as "lncRNA (ENSEASG00005029307.1)". The record is from RNAcentral. Lineage: Eukaryota; Metazoa; Chordata; Mammalia; Perissodactyla; Equidae.
UUUUGUUUGUUUGUUUUGCUUUACGAUUGUCCCCUGAGCUAGCCUCUGUUGCCCUGCUUCCUCAGUUUAAGAUGGCGGAUUUCUCAGUGUUGCUGUUUCGCCAGAUCUCGACGCCCUUGUGUCUUUUUUUUCUGCCUAAUGGUUGGCACCUGAGCUAGCAUCUGUUGCCCAUCUUCUUCAGUUUGAGAGGGUAGAUUUCUCGGUGUUGCUUUUUCGCCAGGUCUCCACGCCCUUGUGUUUUGUUUUUGCUUACACAUUGCCACCUGAGCUAGCCUCUGCUGCCCAUCUUCGUCAGUUUCAGAGGGUGGAUUUCUCAGUGUUGCUUUUUCCCCAGGUCUCCACGCCCUUGUGUGUUUCUUUUGCUUAACGAUUGCCACCUGAGGUAGCCUCUGUUGCCCAACUUCCUCAGUUUCAGAGGGUGGAUUACUCAGUGUUGCUUUUUUCCCAGGUCUCCAGGCCAUUGUGUGUGUCUUUUGCUUAGCAAUUGCCACCUCAGCUAGCCUCUGUUGCCCAUCUUCGCCAGUUUCAGAUGGUGGAUUUAUCAGUGUUGAUUUUUCCCCAGGUCUCCACUUCCCUCAGUGUCUGUGUGUGUGUGUUUUCUUUGCAAGAUUGGCACCUUUCCUUACGUGUGUUGCAGAUCUUUGUCAGUUUCAGAGGGAAGAUUAAUCAGUGUUGCUGUUUCCCAGGACUGCACGCCCUUGUGUUUUGUUUUUGCUUACACAUUGCCACCUGAGCUAGCCUAUGUAGCCCAUCUUCGUCAGUUUUAGAGGGUAGAUUUCUCAGCGUUGCUCUUUCCCAAUGUCUCCACGCCCUUGUGUGUUUCUUUUGCUUAAAGUUUGCCACCUGAAGCCAGCCUCUCUUGCCCAUCUUCCUCAGUUUCAGAGGGUAGAUAUUUCAGGGUUGCUUUUUCCCCAGGUCUCCACGCCUUUGUGUUUUGUUUUUGCUUAACGAUUGCCACCUGAGCUAGCCUCUGUUGCCCAUCUUCCUCAGUUUCAGAGGGUGGAUUUCUCCGUGUUGCUUUUUCCCCAGGUCUCCACGCCCUUGUGUGUUUCUUUUGCUUAACGAUUGCCACCUGAGGUAGCCUCUGUUGCCCAUCCUCGUCAGUUUCAGAGGGUAGAUUUCUCAGUGCUGCUUUUUCCCCAGGUCUCCACGCCCUUGUGUGUUUCUUUUGCUUAACGAUUGCCACCUCAGCUAGCCUCUGUUGCCCAUCUUCGUCAGUUUCAGAGGGUGGAUUUCUCAGUGUUGCUUUUUCCCCAGGUCUCCACGCCCUUGUGUGUUUCUUUUGCUUAACGAUUGCCACCUCAGCUAGCCUCUGUUGCUCAUCUUCGUCUGUUUCAGAGGGUGGAUUUCUCAGUGUUGCCUUUUCACCAGCUCCCCACGCCCUUGUGUGUUUCUUUUGCUUAACGAUUGCCACCUCAGCUAGCCUCUGUUGCCCAUCUUCGUCAGUUUCAGAGGGUGGAUUUCCCAGUUGUGCUUUUUCCCCAGGUCUCCACGCGCUUUUGUGUGUGUGUGUGUGUGUGUGUGUGUGUGUUCCUGCUUAAAGAUUGCCACCCGAGCUAGCCACUGUUUCCCAUCUUCGUCCGUUUCAGAGGAUGGAUUUCUCAGUGUUGCCUUUUCGCCAGCUCCCCACGCCCUUGUGUGUUUCUUUUGCUUAAAGAUUGCCACCUGAGCUAGCCUCUGUUGCGCUUCUUUCUCAGUUUCAGAGGGUAGAUUUCUCCGUGUUGCUUUUUCCCCAGGUCUCCACGCACUUCCUUUUAUUUUUCCUUAAAAAUUGCCACCUGAGCUAGCCUCUGUUGCCCAUCUUCGUCGGUUUCAGAGGGUAGAUUUCUCAGUGUUGCUUUUUCCCCAGGUCUCUACGUGCUUGUGUGUGUGUGUGUGUGUGUGUGUGUGUGUGUGUGUGUUUUCUGCUUAAAGAUUGCCACCUGAGCUAGCCCCUGUUGCCCAUCUUCGUCGGUUUCAGAGGGUAGAUUUCUCAGCGUUGCUUUUUCCCCAG